This is a long non-coding RNA of Lepisosteus oculatus (spotted gar), 2003 nucleotides long. RefSeq lists it as uncharacterized. The record is from RefSeq and is a predicted model, not a curated record. NCBI's taxonomy places the organism in Eukaryota, Metazoa, Chordata, Actinopteri, Semionotiformes, Lepisosteidae.
UUGUUCCCCUACUCAGGUAGCUCUGCUGUUUCUUGGAAACAUUUCUCCAGCAUAAACAGUAGGAUCUCCACCUGUAAAAAUGGACGUUGCCUCCUAAAAAAUUAAAAGCCUAAAGCAUAAUGCAAUAAAUGCAUGUAAGACAAGUUUUGUACCUGUAAAAGCACAUGGUUAUGCAUCAGUCAUUUUGAUUAAAUCUGAGGCUUGCAUGAUGAAUGUUUCAAGGCCAUGUUAUUUUCCUUCAUCUGUGUUAACCAGAACGAGGUCUUCAUCCUUGUUUUAUCGAUGGCCCUGGACACAAUGUAUUGCAGUCAGGAGGAAUGGUGUACUCUGGUGUAGUGUUUGGACCCGACCGGCCUUGGAUUGGAUACUGUAUGUUAUUGACACUCUGCCCAGCUGUGAUACACUGAUAACUGUAUCUGUCACCCAGAAGCGAUUACUGUUCUCACAGUUAGUGUUGCUAUCUAAGUGGGGAGCAAAAUGUUUCACAUUCAAUUUUAAAAAGAAAUUGCAAUACACGUUUUAUGUAGAAUAAAGGAAUAAAGAAAUAUGCCGCAUUUGCUGAAUUGAGGAAUAAAGACAUUUGCAAUAUAAAAGAUGAACGAUCAUUUCAGAUCGCCACACAGCUGAAACCCUGGGAGGAUUACUCUCUGUUUUAAAAUGGUGUCACAAGAGUUUACAACUAAUCCAUAGAAACCUGACCCCUUUUUAAAGAUUGCAAUUUUAUCCAGCAAGAUUUUGUUUUCUGUUCAUUCUGUGUUUUCUUAAUGAAAGAACCGAGACUGUGUCACUGUCCUGGUUCUGGCGUUAUUGCUGACUUCCUGUCAGUUUCAUUUUGUCUGAUUCCAGAAUGUGACUCCCUCCUCUGCGAUAAACGGUUCUUAAACUAAGAUUGCGAAGAGCUAUCUGUGCUAUUAAAUUCUGCACUAUUCUGUGUAAUCUGUGCUAUUAAAUGCUCAAAUGAACCCCCCACCCCCAACACACACACAGUGUGAUGCUACAUUCAGCAAUUAAAGGAAACGACUCGCGUCGACAGAGCCCUUCAAAACAUCGGUCCUGAAAGACGUGACUUGUUGAGUGAGCCAUGUGAAAACAUCUCCGUCUUCUCCGGGAGAGUCGUCAUCGUGUUCAAGUCACAGUACCCCGGGGUCAGGAAAGGGGCUCGGUUUAAACACCACACUGGACAGCGUCACCUCUCCAGAGCCUGCUGUCACAGCACAGCCCGAGGCAGACGCGUCACGGUGAUGAAGACCCCAAUAACAGGUGUACCAUACUCCUGCCACUGAGACCAGGACACAGGUCGUGGGGAGCGACACGGAUCACCCGUGGGGCGGACUCGCCUACUCGAGCUGCUGCUUUCUGAAUGUCUGCAGCCCCAGCGCGCCGGUGCCGAAACUUCCCCCCACAAACUUAGCCGGCCGUCUACGUUACAGACACUGUGUACAUAUUGUGACCACAGCUGGGGUACAGCCUGAGACCCCUGACCUCCCCUCUGGCGUCACCAACACGCUCCCCGUGAGAGAAAACGACAACAACGGCCGGUCGCCGCCAGCCGUGACCUAAUGGAGAUGACCGUACAGACAAGAGCUACAUCACCGUGCACGUCCUUUGGAAAAACCCAACCAAGCUGUCCCUCCCUGUGAGCUUCCUGAGCAACUCCACCUGUAUGACAACUCCAACCUGUCUCUGAGCAGCGUGAGCUCCAGCCGAUUCAAUCCCCCAAUUUCCUCACCUUCUGUCCAGAGCCGAACGGACCAGGCGUCUCACAGAUCCCCAGGAGCCUCACGCGUCCCGUUUCCCCCUCAAAAAGGAAAAUACAGGCAUACCUGUCAGGGAUGAACAAAACAAGCAAGGCCAAGACUUUUUUUUUCCCAAAAAAGAGAACACAUUUGAUUAAGCAUGUCACGAUGAUUUCCACCAGUAGUACAUUGUCUAGCAUAUUGUAACAAUGAAUCGUUUCCCUCAUUUUUAAUAGGAGAAGCAAUAAAGGGUGUUUGAACUUUUAA